RNAcentral lists this ribosomal RNA (253 nucleotides) under uncultured bacterium. RNAcentral describes it as "partial 16S ribosomal RNA". It matches the Rfam family "Bacterial small subunit ribosomal RNA", at positions 524 to 776 of the family's 1533-position model. The record is from RNAcentral.
UACGGAGGGUGCAAGCGUUAUCCGGAUUCACUGGGUUUAAAGGGUGCGUAGGUGGGUCUGUAAGUCAGUGGUGAAAUCUCCAGGCUUAACCUGGAAACUGCCAUUGAUACUAUAGGUCUUGAAUUUUCUGGAGGAUAGCGGAAUAUGUCAUGUAGCGGUGAAAUGCUUAGAUAUGACAUAGAACACCAAUUGCGAAGGCAGCUAUCUACAGGGAUAUUGACACUGAUGCACGAAAGCGUGGGGAUCAAACAGG